This 462-nucleotide ribosomal RNA is filed under the name uncultured bacterium. RNAcentral's name for it is "partial 16S ribosomal RNA". It matches the Rfam family "Bacterial small subunit ribosomal RNA", at positions 29 to 523 of the family's 1533-position model. The record is from RNAcentral.
AAUGAACGUUGGCGGCAUGGAUUAGGCAUGCAAGUCGGGGGAAUCCCAGCAAUGGGGGAACCGGCGUAAGGGGCAGUAAGGCAUGGGUACCUACCUUGGGGUUCGGGAUAGCCAUCAGAGAUGGUGGGUAAUACCGGAUGACGUCGUGAGACCAAAGAUUUAUCGCCCGUAGAGGGGCACAUGGGAUAUUAGCUAGUUGGUGGGGUAACGGCCCACCAAGGCGAAGAUGUCUAGCGGGUGUGAGAGCACGACCCACGCCACUCGCACUGAGACACUGGCGAGACACCUACGGGUGGCUGCAGUCGAGGAUCUUCGGCAAUGAGCGCAAGCUUGACCGAGCGAUGCCGCGUGAGCGAUGAAGGCCUUCGGGUUGUAAAGCUCUUUAGUGGGGGAGAAAAGCCGCAAGGUGUGAUCUAUCCCAAAAAUAAGCACGGGCUAAGUUCGUGCCAGCCGCCGCGGUAA